Molecule: long non-coding RNA, 2038 nt
Filed under: Mus musculus (house mouse)
Lineage: Eukaryota; Metazoa; Chordata; Mammalia; Rodentia; Muridae
Description: long non-coding RNA chr8:63268309-63270347
Source: RNAcentral
GUUUAGGCCUUUUCUUCUGAUGUAGAAAACCCACAAGACAGCACCAUGGUGACUAAAUACAUCCUACAGAAAGAAUAUUUCUAGCUUGUUAUCUAAACUUGUAUAAUCUCUUUCUUUCUCUUUGUGUGUGUGUGUGUAUGUGUGUGUGUGUGGGUGUGUGUGUGUGCACUCAUAGCCAUCAGAGCACUAUAAUUGCAACACUAUAGAAUAAACCGAACUGCACAAACAUGACGUCUUAAGCACAGGCAACCUGUAAGAACUGCUUACAUUUGGCUUAGUGUAUUAAGAAGAAAAAAAAUGGCUGAAAAAAAAAGCUUUUAUAUAUUUAAGUGGAUUUAAUUAGUAAUUAAAAUCCUAAACACAAAAUAGAAACAAAUGGACAGAUACAUACACAUGAGACAGAGAGAGGGAGAAGAGGGAGCAGGAGAAAGAGGAAGACAGAGAUGGAGAGACAGAGUGACAAAGAAAGACACAGAGAGACAGAGCUCUCUCUCUGUCCUUUAGGCCUCCAAUGUGGAACACUAUUCCUCAUGAGACAUGAGCAAGUGUUUAUACCACACAGAUAACUAACUGAUGACAGCCAACAUAAACACUACAAAAGUCUAAAUUUAGGGAGAAAUGUGUGUUUUUCGGGUUAGCUACAGUAGCAGAAAUGACUCAAAGACAACUACACUGCUAAUGCCCACCCCUGUAUUGAUGAUGCGAUCCUGAAACCUGGAGUUCACUGACUAACAUGCUGGCAGUCCACUUGUUUGGAGAGGAUCCCUCUUUGAGAACACUUAUUAUUCUUUGUAUUGGUAUCUUCUUAUGUGUGCUUAGGGAGAGAAGGGUCUAUUGAACCCGAUUAGUUUCAGAGACUCUCUGAUCCUUUGAAUUGAUAAUUUCCUGAGCCUAAGAAACUAAGUACUAGUAUCUAUCAUGAACUAUUAUGCAUAUAUAUUCUCAUAACACUUUAAAGUUUCAAGUAAAAUUAGUAAUUACUCAGGCUUCAUAAUAUUUCUUGGAAGAAAUAUUACACAUUAUAAAUAUCCAUGCUGAUUUAAAGCAUUAUCCAGUUUUGUUGAGAGUCCAGUAUUUUAGGAAAAUCUUGACAAAAUUAAAAUCAGUAGUCCAAAGAAAUAAUUGUUUCAUUGAAACAAAUCAUUUGUAAGUUCAGCAAAAGAGCUAGGGUUUAUAAUAUAUUUUAUUAUUCUGUAACCAUUUGUUCUUUUGAAAAGUUAAAAUGAAAAAGAAUCCACUAAAAUAAGAGCUUACUCUCUGCUUGGAUGAUGCAAAACAAUUGCUUUCCCACCACUACAAUGUCAAGGAGAAAGCUUUCUAUCUAAGAAAUAUGAUUAAGCCCUGUGGUAAUAAUGUCUGUGCCUUGGGAGAUAAAUAAUAUGAUGUUAUCAGAGAAUCCCUGCUGUAAAGCAAUAACAGGGAGAAAUUGUUGCCUACAUAAUAUGAUAAGCUAUACACCAUUAUCUAAUUCUUCUGUAUUACAGAUAAUAAAUAUUUUUGUUCUGUGAAAACAAACAAAAUUAUAUAAAUUCAAGCUAGAGUAUAUCUGGAAAAGCAUGUGCUUUUUGGAUUAAAUUUAAUAGAAAAUUUGAAAAUGUCACAUGGAAAUUAAUUAUUUACAUAUGAAAUUAUCUUUGCUAAAACAAUUCAUGUCAUGGCAUAAGAUAAAUUAUGAUUAAUUAUCCUAUGGGCUUUACUUAAAUUUUAAAACUUAAAUGGAUCUUGGUUCUGCAGUAUUCCUAACAUAUAAGGAAACAACUAUGAGCAUGUUAAGCAAUUUUGGGAAAAUUGAAGAUGUGCUAAGACCAGUCUAAAUUCAAAUUAUUAUGAAAAUUUUAUUAGGCUUAGAAUUUGCUGCAUUUGUAUUUUUUGAUUUAUUUUCAUUUAAUGCCAUUUUAUUAAUUCUUUUAGAAUUUUACACACUGCAUUUUGAUUGUAUUUAUCCUCCUGUGCUAUCUUUCUCCAACUAAAACCUUCUCUACUCUCUCCCUCCCUCCACCCUACCCUCUGCCCCUUUCUUCCAUUCCCUAUUCUCCUG